GGAUGUGAAGGCAAUCUGGCUGUGACAUCUGUCACUCCCUGGAUCGCCAGGGUUGAUUUGGCAGAUUCGGCUGGCUAGGUGGCUGUCGCCUCCUCCCUUCCUCACCACUCCAUCUGCAUCGCUUCCAAAGCUGCACACUUGGUCAAAGUGGGUGACCUUCCCGAUACACAAGGACCAUUUUUGGUCUAGGGUAUAUGAGUCCUUGUGUUCCCCCAUCCAAACCUCCAAGCAAGCUCUGAAGGAGCCCCUCUCAGUGGCAGCAGAGAGUUAGCAGUUAACAACAUGAGUUCUGGGUUCAGAUCCUACAGCACCUCUGACUGGUGACGUUG
Unclassified non-coding RNA from Mustela putorius furo (domestic ferret), 329 nucleotides. Its record names the gene 7SK. It matches the Rfam family "7SK RNA". From Rfam's summary of the family: 7SK was discovered as an abundant small nuclear RNA in the mid-70s but a possible function has only recently been suggested. Two independent studies have found that 7SK RNA binds the CDK9/cyclin T complex (known as elongation factor P-TEFb). The record is from Ensembl. NCBI's taxonomy places the organism in Eukaryota, Metazoa, Chordata, Mammalia, Carnivora, Mustelidae.